GAAAUUAAUAUCCCCUGGAUAUUGUUUUCAGCCAGACACUGCAGUUAUCAAUUUACAAGCUGACACACAAAUAAGCGAUUUGUCACAAGAAACAGCAGGAAGAAAACCAUUGUGCAUGUGUGUGUGAGUGAGGGAAGAUUAGAGCCAAUUUAUACCAGUAAGUAAAAGGCUUUCUGGAAUAAUUCAUUACAACAAAGGAUUCACGCAGGGAGGGAACAUUUUUGAAGACUUUUGAAGACUGCACUAGCAAUAUGUCAGCAGCCCUUCUCCAGCACUUGCCACGGUGUAAGCACAUGGAUGAUUGUGUGAAACUCACAUUGUAGUCCAGCCCAUGAAGAGUUUACAGGAUUGAGCCCAAGAUUUCUAGGUAGAGAGAAUUUCCUGGGACCCCUUGUGAUAGCUGUCUAAAUCACUCCCCUCACUGGGCUGCUGCCCCCUUGCACCAUGCCGGCUCCUCCAUGGUUGGGGCUCGUUGCUGCCGCAAGCAGGACACUCUGGCUCUCCGGUGCCUCCGGAAGGUGGCUCCUCCCUGCCGAGCUGCUGCAGCGGCCCAAGCCCGGCAAAGCCACAGCAGCCCUUUCCACACCUGCUGGGCCAAGCCUCGCACUAGGGAUCCAGGUGCUGGAAUGGGUUAGCAGCAGGUCAGAAAAAAGAGAAAUGGAGGAUCUUUUCAGGCUUGUGGCAAGAAGGCGUCAAGGGCACCUUGACUUCAAGAGAGCCAAGGAGGAAAGGGACACACUGAAUGAGUAAAGACUGCUCAAGAAGUUCCUGGACUAAGAGCAAAAAACCAGCACAGGAUCAAAUGAUCAUGCAAGCAGCUGAUGAAUGUAGGGCAGCAGGGUGGUUCAGCUGGACCCUACCCACCUCCUAUGAGCGCUCCAGCACCAAUGCUUGUGCCAGCUGCAACAUCUGUAUAUAUGCCUGUGCAACCUCACAUUGAGUCCCCUCCACAGCCUGCAGCCCCACAAGCAUUGGAGAACCCUGGCUUCUCCUUCGGCAUCCACUCCUAUCCAAACCUCAGUCUCUGUGUAGCCACACAGAAGGCUAUCAGGCUGUGGUUUGCAAGGGAGAAUAGUAACAGCACUAGGAACAGCUGCUAGCAUUAGCACUGAUCACAGCUGUUGGAAGUUAAUUUGAAAACUAGAUUUGUUUAUUUUUAAAAAUCCAUUUUAGAUAGUUAAGGGUAUGUUUUGUUUUGGGGCUUUUUUGCCCUGUUGGAAGUUAUGUUGUACUUAUGUUUUACUGCACCCUUCAUUUAUCUUUCCCUGUUGUUGGUAGUUAUUUUACACUGUUGGUUAUUUUCACUUAUGCUUUACUACACCCUUCACUGUUAUACAAUUUGUUUUGAUGCACACAGAGUCUGAGUGGUGGACUACAGUUUAUAAUAAGGGUUCAAAUUCCCACUCAAACGAAGUGAAACACAACCCCAUCCAAGACGCUUGAAUCUCCAACCACCUACAUGUGUGAUAAGUGAUACUUUAAUGCCUGCACCACACCCAAGCACUCAUGUGCCCGUUAAAAAUGUAUCGAUUAAUAAGAAGCAUGGAAAAAUGGUAAUACAAGCAACCUUUAUUAAUCCAAUUUUAACAAUCCUAGGGCCCAUUACAUCACCACAUUUCACUCCUAUCACUCUAUUAAAGGGGAAGCAGCCGCACUAGGAACAGGUGCAUUUUCUGGUUGUAUGUACUGGACCUGCAACCAACAUUGUCUUGAAUCUACUCCCUAUGAACACGUUCACCUUUGGCAUCACAAAAGUUGUGGAGGGCACAGAAGCCCCCCAAAAAAUCAUAUAAAUGGCAUUGAUGUCCUUGGUAUCUGAAUGGUUCUGUAGCCAGCACCAUCUUGUCUUCAGCCUGCCAAACACAUAUGCCACCACUGGCCUGCAACUAUAAGCAUAGAAUUGAGCCUUCUCCUGCCAGGUUCUGUGUUGUCAGGAUAUAAUUACAUGAGCAGUGGUAGGAGCUGGGAGGCAGGAUCCUCCAAGAUAACAGUAGUCAUCAACACCCAAAUUGAUAAUAUUUUAGGAGGAAUUAAGGCCCCUGCUUCCCGCAACAAGUACUGUCCAAAUCUCCUUAAAACCUUCCCCUUGUGAACUUUGCCAGUAAUACACAUGUUGUUGUUCAUAGACCUACCUCUCUGGUCCAUCUAGGAUGGCAGAAUGUUAGAGUAGAACCCUUUCCAGUUUACAUAUUUGCUUGUUCCAUGUGGUGGGCAAAUCAAGGGCACAAGUGUGCCAUCAAUGACCUUGGCACAGUUGAGGGACUCCAUUCUCUGAAAGCCAGCUAUUAUGUCAGGCACAUUUCUAAUGUCAACCACAUAUGGUUAAGUUACAGUCACAAUUGCCUGGCAAAGCAUCACCACCAUGGCCCCAACAGUAGAUUUCCAGCACCAAACAGG
Molecule: long non-coding RNA, 2397 nt
Organism: Mauremys mutica (yellowpond turtle)
Lineage: Eukaryota; Metazoa; Chordata; Testudines; Geoemydidae
Exons: 4
Source: RefSeq, a predicted model, not a curated record